GGAAUAUUGGUCAAUGGGCGAGAGCCUGAACCAGCCAAGUAGCGUGCAGGAUGACGGCCCUAUGGGUUGUAAACUGCUUUUAUGCGGGGAUAAAAUUCGUCACGUGUGGCGUUUUGCAGGUACCGCAUGAAUAAGGACCGGCUAAUUCCGUGCCAGCAGCCGCGGUAAUACGGAAGGUCCGGGCGUUAUCCGGAUUUAUUGGGUUUAAAGGGAGCGCAGGCCGAUGGUUAAGCGUGACGUGAAAUGUAGCCGCUCAACGGCUGAACUGCGUCGCGAACUGGCUGUCUUGAGUGAGUUCGAUGUGGGCGGAAUUCGUGGUGUAGCGGUGAAAUGCUUAGAUAUCACGAAGAACUCCGAUUGCGAAGGCAGCCAACAAGGCCUUUACUGACGCUAAAGCUCGAAGGUGCGGGUAUCGAACA
RNAcentral lists this ribosomal RNA (419 nucleotides) under uncultured Prevotella sp. RNAcentral describes it as "bacterial SSU rRNA". It matches the Rfam family "Bacterial small subunit ribosomal RNA", at positions 358 to 774 of the family's 1533-position model. Lineage: Bacteria; Pseudomonadati; Bacteroidota; Bacteroidia; Bacteroidales; Prevotellaceae. The record is from RNAcentral.